UGUUUAACGCCCAUUACUAGAUGAGGUAUGAAGACGGCCGGUUGAUUUACAAAUUUAGAUAUUGGGUUCACGUUUAGGGGGAGAUCCCUAUGGACCAUCAGAAGUACCAGUAAGCAGGUAAAAAUAUAAGUUAUUAUUCUUGCUCACUUCAAGAUGAAAUUACAAUGUUAUUUGAGUUAUUGCCUUUAUAGGUCGAUUUUUAGGAAUCCAUAGUGGUAAGUAUGAAAUAAACGGUUUUACGUU
This 243-nucleotide long non-coding RNA is filed under the name Carica papaya (papaya). RNAcentral describes it as "long non-coding RNA (CPAP_LNC011227)". The record is from RNAcentral. Lineage: Eukaryota; Viridiplantae; Streptophyta; Magnoliopsida; Brassicales; Caricaceae.